UGCUUUGAUGAAGCAACUGUGAUGUUCGUUGAAUUGUCGAUUGUUUGAGUUUAAAGGAAUUAUAUGUCGACAUACAAUAGUGGUGUUGAUUCGUAAACAAAUUUUUCAUGUAACAGACAAGUACAUUUUAAGGCGAUGGAGGAAAAUUAAACAAUUGCAAACCAAGGUUAAGAUAAGUUAUAAUAGUUGGAGCACCAAUGAUGAAGGAAAACGAUUUGAUCAAUUGUGUAAUUAUCUCUAACUAGCAGAUUUGGCAUCAGGUAAGAGGAUGAUUGUAAUAUGGUGAUACAAAUGAUCAAUGAUAUGAAGAACAAAUUGAUGUUGCAGGAAAGUGUUGGCGAGAAUGGUAAAAGACUAAACAACUCGUCUAAUAGUACAAUGAAUCGUGAGGUUUGAUGGUAGGAGUCAUAACGCGAUGUGUCAAUUGGUAUUUUAAGUCCUCUAACACCACCACCGUUGACUAUAGUGAGCACCACUCGCAGUAGUCCAUAACAGAAAAAUUACAGCUUUGGUGGGUUAGGUUGCAGCAUGUACCCUCUUCUAGUAGAUCGACAGGAGUCCAUAAAGGAACCAAGAAAGGGGGAGAAUCUGUGACCAAGCUAGUGGUAAAAUCGUUUUUUUUUUUUAGAUUAAAAGUGCAUGGGAGACUCAGAGGCAGAUGCUACAAUCCUUGUCCUGAAAGAAAAGCAGAUGCCCAGGAAAGUUGGUGAAAGGUGCUAUCUUGAGGGACAUCUGUGCUGGUUUUGAGGAACCAACUGAGCCAGCUGUUUGUUUGAGUGGUGAUGUAGAGAGACAAACGAGUGCUUGGAUAAUAGUGGGGGUUGUUGGCAAGAUAAAGGAGCCAACAUCACAGCCUGCAAGUUAUGGAUGUAACCAUUUGGCUAGGCAGGUUAUUGUUUUGUUUCAAUUGAUUUUUUUGUUUAUUUAUUUAGCUGAGUUAUUGAGUUGUUAAUGCUUCUAACAGGGUACCUUCCGUGGGGGGUAUGUGAAUGCCCUCUAGUUGAUAGUCUACAGUUCAAAUGAGAUGGUUACAGCCACUGUGAAGUGGUACCAUUCUGGGUUUCCCGUAACUCCUUUCUCCAGCAUGCAUUGGCCAGAAAUUUUCUGUGCAAGAAAUAAAGCUGUCAUUGGUACAAUUAUAUAUUAAAUUUUUUAUUUUAUUUUUUAGUUUUGGGGGGCAUUGGUGUGGCAGAUGAGGUGGCAUCUACCACGUCAGUCAGGAUGUAUCAGUCAGUAAGUGUAGUCUUAAUGUUGGUAAUUAGAGAGUAAAGGUUGGUUAAUGUGAUAGGAAAUAAGAAUGUUUCUAAUGAAUAUUGCUUAAAGCAAUCUUUUGCCUGAAUUAGAGUUACAUACGAGUGUUGGUGUCU
Pistacia vera is the source of this 1367-nucleotide long non-coding RNA. RefSeq lists it as uncharacterized. The record is from RefSeq and is a predicted model, not a curated record. Lineage: Eukaryota; Viridiplantae; Streptophyta; Magnoliopsida; Sapindales; Anacardiaceae. The transcript is spliced from 4 exons.